CAGUUUGUUUGAUGACACUGAUGAAGUCCACUUGCUGAAACGUGUUGGUCUAACAAUAAAGUUGUUCAGCAUAAUAUAAGUUUGGUGGAGUAUUACCAAAUGAGUGUGUGGAGACAUGAAUGAAGGACAACAUGAGGCAAGAACUUUUACUAGCUGCACUGGAAAACAUAUUCAGACAAGCUACACAAAGCUGUUCCACCACAAAGCUUCACCGCCACUGGAGAGGUCGUCAUUAUGUACAGAAGCUCCGGGAGGUCUGUGUUGUAUAAAGAGAGGGGAGAAGUGUGAGUCUCUGGGUAUUAACCCAUUAUUAAUGGUGACUGGUGCCUGGCAGCACGACGCAGCACGACUGAUUCUGAGAGAGAGAGGCAUCUGUCAGACAACACAGAAUGGAGGAAAUGUCAGAAGAUGAGCUCUGUAAUCAGGCAUCCCAUCCUGAUGCAUGUCAUAUAUGUAUUGGACAGACAGAUGGAGCGCAGAACCACUUCCUGUCCCGUC
Cottoperca gobio is the source of this 498-nucleotide long non-coding RNA. Lineage: Eukaryota; Metazoa; Chordata; Actinopteri; Perciformes; Bovichtidae. The record is from Ensembl.